Molecule: ribosomal RNA, 278 nt
Filed under: uncultured bacterium
Lineage: Bacteria
Description: partial 16S ribosomal RNA
Rfam family: Bacterial small subunit ribosomal RNA
Source: RNAcentral
UGCCAGCCGCCGCGGUAAUACGGAGGGUGCAAGCGUUAUCCGGAAUUACUGGGUUUAAAGGGUGCGUAGGCGGAACUAUAAGUCAGAGGUGAAAUCACACAGCUUAACUGUGUAACUGCCUUUGAUACUGUAGAUCUUGAAUUAGGUUGAGGUUAGCGGAAUGUGACAUGUAGCGGUGAAAUGCAUAGAUAUGUCAUAGAACACCAAUUGCGAAGGCAGCUAGCUAAGCUAUGAUUGACGCUGAGGCACGAAAGCGUGGGGAGCGAACAGGAUUAGAA